This 72-nucleotide transfer RNA is filed under the name Camelus bactrianus (Bactrian camel). It matches the Rfam family "tRNA". Rfam says of the family: Transfer RNA (tRNA) molecules are approximately 80 nucleotides in length. Their secondary structure includes four short double-helical elements and three loops (D, anti-codon, and T loops). Lineage: Eukaryota; Metazoa; Chordata; Mammalia; Artiodactyla; Camelidae. RNAcentral also lists the same sequence under 2 other names. The record is from Rfam by way of RNAcentral.
GGGGGUAUAGCUCAGUGGUAGAGUGCAAGCUUAGCAUGCACGAGGUCGUGGGUUCAAUCCCCAGUACCUCCA